AACAAUUAAACGGCCGCGGUACUCUAACCGUGCAAAGGUAGCAUAAUCAUUUGUCCACUAAUUAUGGACUAGUAUGAAAGGCAAAAUGAGGGAUUAACUGUCUCUUAUAGUAAGUCAAUUAAACUGAUCUACCAGUAAAAAAGCUGGAAUAAACACACAAGACCAGAAGACCCUGUGAAGCUUAAACUAAACUAUUAAACCAUAUAAUACCUACUUUCGGUUGGGGCGACCUUGGAAAAAAAAGAACUUCCAAACUAGUGACAUUAAUCACCUCCAGGCCAACAAGCCACACAUGACCCAGCACACCUGACAAUUGAACCAAGUUACUCCAGGGAUAACAGCGCCAUCUUCUUCAAGAGUCCAUAUCAAAAAGAAGGUUUACGACCUCGAUGUUGGAUCAGGACAUCCUAA
Molecule: ribosomal RNA, 411 nt
Filed under: Erythrolamprus melanotus
Lineage: Eukaryota; Metazoa; Chordata; Lepidosauria; Squamata; Dipsadidae
Description: partial 16S ribosomal RNA
Rfam family: Bacterial large subunit ribosomal RNA
Source: RNAcentral